UACGUAGGAGGCAAGCGUUAUCCGGAUUUAUUGGGCGUAAAGAGGGCGUAGGUGGCUCUUCAAGUCGGAUGUAAAAUCUCCUGGCUCAACUGGGAGAGACCAUUCGAUACUGCUGGGCUAGAGUGCAGCAGAGGGAGGUGGAAUUCCCGGUGUAGUGGUGAUAUGCGUAGAUAUCGGGAGGAACACCAGUGGCGAAGGCGGCCUCCUGGGCUGUUACUGACACUGAGGCCCAAAAGCGUGGGGAGCAAACAGGAUUAGAUACCCUCGUA
RNAcentral lists this ribosomal RNA (269 nucleotides) under uncultured prokaryote. Its description in RNAcentral is "partial 16S ribosomal RNA". It matches the Rfam family "Bacterial small subunit ribosomal RNA", at positions 524 to 792 of the family's 1533-position model. The record is from RNAcentral.